RNAcentral lists this ribosomal RNA (391 nucleotides) under uncultured bacterium. Its description in RNAcentral is "bacterial SSU rRNA". It matches the Rfam family "Bacterial small subunit ribosomal RNA", at positions 30 to 425 of the family's 1533-position model. The record is from RNAcentral.
AUUGAACGCUGGCGGCAGGCCUAACACAUGCAAGUCGAGCGCGAAAAUUCCUUCGGGGAUGAGUAGAGCGGCGGACGGGUGAGUAAUGCGCAGAAAUCUGCCCAGUAGUGGGGGACAACCUGGUGAAAACCAGGCUAAUACCGCAUACGCCCUACGGGGAAAGGCAGGGAGUCUUCGGACCUUGCGCUAUUGGAUGAGUCUGCGUCGGAUUAGCUUGUUGGUGAGGUAAUGGCUCACCAAGGCGACGAUCCGUAGCUGGUCUGAGAGGAUGAUCAGCCACACUGGGACUGAGACACGGCCCAGACUCCUACGGGAGGCAGCAGUGGGGAAUAUUGGACAAUGGGGCAACCCUGAUCCAGCCAUGCCGCGUGUGUGAAGAAGGCCUCGGUUG